UUUUUCCCUGAAAGAAAAUGGCACACAGAUCAUACAACUUCACAGACUUUCUCCAAAGCUUCAAUGUAUGUUCUUCUGUCCAGACUCCAGAGUCUCACUAAUUGCUUAUCUACAUGAUGAAAUGCACAAAUGCGCCAUGCUUUCUGUUUGAAGUCUCCACGUGUUUUAAGCCGUGGACUUCAAUGGAGUCAUCAGUGUAUUGAACCAACAGAUGCCUUGAAUUGAGCUUACAAUUUGCACCUGGAUUAUUGGUGGGUCUGACAACAACAAGCAGAACACGACGCCUGGGGGCUCUUUGGAAAUCUGCCAUGAAGUAUGCCAUACGUAUCUUCCUGUUUCACUCUGCUUUUGUCAGAAUUUCUUUCUUUUAAAAAGAAAAAGGUUCUGUGUUUAAAGCUGGCAGAUGGUUGAAAACCGUCCUUUUCUUUCAAGAGCCUCAAAAAGUUACCUUCACAGGGGCUUUGUACUGAAGUUGAAAAGCCAGACACGGAAUGCCUUGGGUGAUGACUAGGAUCCAUUUGGCCUCUCAAGCUUUAUCUGUUUUUUCACCUGCCACAUACCGUUCCACAUUCACACAUGCAUGUACAUUGGGUGGCUUUGGUCUUCUUCCACUUCAUCAGUCCAUCACACCAUGAUCCCUACCUCUUUUUGUAAUUUUUUGCAAUUAUUCCUUUAAGGAAAUGUCGGGAAAUCCCUGAGGUUAUAUUUAAUGGGUUGGAUCCAGGCUCUGCCUUCUGCAAGAAGAAAGGUCCGUCCAAGAGAGAAAAGGCUGUACUUGAGGAAGGUCUCUCCUGCCCAUUUUUGGAAGCCUACCUUGGAAGCCUACCUUCCCCCGCCAUGCCACAGGUCUUCUUGGUGUGGCAUUUUCAGGGUGGAGGGACUACUGUGGGAAGGAAGAGGCCGGGGGUGUACACGUUUGCCUAUGCGGUUGAUCCAGCAUACAUCAAGGUCCAACCCUAUUUGCUCAGUGGGCUUUGUUUCACACUGCAAAAUUUUGAGCAGCCGCAAAACAGCCAGGACUUGGCCAGAAUGAAAUUCUAGUGCCAUAGCAAUGUAAAUCUCUUGUGACCUCUGGGGUAGAAAUAGCAGAACGAUUGUCAAAGUUGUGUGAAUGGAAAAAGGCCAUCUGCUCCUCUUUCCACACUGAAGCCCACAAUCUCCUUCAACAAGAUGCUAGCUUUUUGUACACAACAGCAUGUACAGACCCAGACUGAACAUUUGUGGCACUCAGAAGAGCUUUUGCAAAGCGCUUCCCAGCUUUUCCACAUGGGCCAUCACUGGUUUAAUUACUUAAAAGAAGCAAAACCACACAUGCACACACUUUUGCUAUCCAAACUGGCAUUUUAUAUUUUCAAAGCUAAGCUCAGGCUGGCUGCUAUUUCAAAUGUUUCACGGUCGAUCAUAUUUCAUGUUCCACUGGCAGUCACCUCAGAGGCUGGCUGAUAUUUCUAAUUAACUAGGCAUUAAUUGCUUGGAAAGCUUCCUGCUCUCCUAGUAACAGACAUUUCAGUAGCUGCUUUGGUUCUGGACAAGAACCUGAGACAAGCUAGCCUACAAGCCUUAUAGGUGUCCUAUUAUUCUGUGCUCUUUGGGAUAGUCUGUUCUCUUCUAAGUCUUUAAUCAUGUGGAAGGGGAAUGUUUCCCAAGGAGUUUGCAAUGCACAUCCCACUUGUGGGAAAUGGAAAACCAGUGAAGAUAACUUAUUAAGUUUAGGCUAAUCCACUUUCUCCUAUAUCCAUAAAUUGCUAAACAUUUAUUACUUCUUAAAGAUAGCGUAGCAGGGAUUAGCAACUAGCCAAUGGAUAACAGUGCCCUGAUCCUGCUUAUAAAAACAAAGAGCAGCAGCAUCUUUAGACCUUAUUUGGAUCGGAGAAGCAGGAAAGGAUAUGGGGGAGUUCUUAAUACUUUUUCCCAGUUGCCGCUUCUCCAUUCCAGAUCACAGACCUGAACACGCAUAACAAGCUGCUUUUCCUUUGCAGAGUUCCAUGUGCAUGUUUGCCUGAGAAAAAUUUGGAGCUCCUCAGGGAAUAGCAACUAGGUGGGGAAAGGGGCUAAACUGUACAUGUACAGACAGAGCUGCUUCUCCAUUUCAAAUUCUUAGAGAAAGAGGGAAUGAAGAUGCUGCAGACGGACUCUCCUCUCCCACCGGACAUCCGCCACCUAUGUUGUGUGAGGGUGUGUGCACUGUGAUGCCUGUUGCUGUUAUUGGUCAGGCGCCUAGAAAGGAUUUGUAUCCUGAAAUGUGAGGUAUAAAUAAUUCACAAAUUCUUCCUCCAAGAACAGUCAUCUUUUCUUUAAUUAAAAGACAAGCAUCAGGAAUUUCAUACCUAUUUGCCUAUAAACCUUCGUAAGGUAUGAAUGAGCGCUGCUUCACAAAAACGCCUGCUAAGCAGGAGCUCAUACAGAAGCAAAAUUGAGCAAAAACUGUCACAUUAAAAGGGGGAAGAGACACAAAGCUAUGUGCCAAUUGCUGCAAGAAUAUCCAUCAUGUCCCUGAUUCCCACAUUUAGAAAUAUUACUAUACAGGGGGAUUCAAGCCAGUUUCUUUCCCAAUGCAUUUGGAACAAAGUUUUGCUACAGUUUUAUUGUACCCUUUCUACAGGGAGCUCAGGACAAUGCAUACAAUUCUCUCUUCAUGUCCAGAUCCAGAAAGCACAGCACAUGGCUUCCAAACAAACAAAGAUAUUAAAUCAACUUUAAAACAUGGCUUGAUACUCGCACCUACUUACCUCAGUGAAAACUGCUAACUAGAAUAAUUAUAUAGUUCCUAACUAUCUUUUUACUUGCAAAUCAGCACUGGCUAUACCAGAAUGUAUAGGUGGAGGAGUGACUCCCCCACGACUCCCCCAUGGUAGGGGAGUCACUCCCCCACCUAAUCCUCACUCCCCACUUCAAGUGGGCUAAAAAUUCAAAACAAAAAUGUCCACUGGAACCAGUCAAAUCUCUGCUUCUCUUUUUAGCCCCUGCAUGAUGGAGGAAAGUGGCUGGGUGGGAAGGUGGAAACCUCCCUUAACAGCAUGUGUCAGUCAUGAUCUGGACUGGGAGAUGGUGUGCAUAUUUGAAAACUGGGGAAAAACCCUGCAUAUUUAAUGUAGAAUCUAAUUUAGUCUGUAAGUGCUGGAUUUGGAUGUAAUAGCAAACUAGUUAAUGGUGACUUCACAGCUUGUUUUUCUGCUCAUGCAGAGCAAGGAGUGAAGUAGCUGUGUAGAGGUGCAAGAUGCUUCUUGAGCCAAGAGGCAGUUGUGUGAAUGUGACCUGCAUGUCAUGAAGAAGAGUGAAAUCCACCUAGCGCCACAGCUCCUAAAAGGCUUCUGUGCCUUUAAUAGCAGUAAUUGGCAGAGAGUCAGCACGAGACCAGUUCCUUUGAUAGCUGUGCCAGCAGCCAAAGGUCUUCCAGCAAUGCAUACAUGGAAAGACUUUUGGCAUUUCAGCUUAAUUUAUACGUGAAUAUUUAAACUCUGGAGGUAGGCUUUCAAAAAACAAACAGCAGCUCAGGGGCACCUGACUUCCAAAGAAAUGAAGGGCAGGUCAGCCUGCUAUUGCAAAAUACAUUUCCAGGAUGUGCUUAUCUGUUUCAUAAUAAGGUACCUUAAUAUGAAACGAGAUAAGAAUCAUUGUAACUGUAUUUGUGAAAGAAUAGUUCCAGGCUUUCAGCCAAAUUGCUCUGGUUAGGAUCAGAUUCAUGGGUAAAUAGGAAAUAUAUUUGCAGCACAUUUUUAAAGCUUUACUCUAGAAUCUCUCAAAUGUCUGGUGGUUGAGCCACACUUUUUCCCUUACUUGAAUUUACUAUUGACAGCUUGCAGCAGCAUUUAGAAAUAUGCACUGUGAAGUUGUCUCCACCCUCCACAUUUAGGUAUGAGUUGCUGAUUUGGGCAUGCCCCCCACAUUUCUGAGUGGAAAGAAGCAAGCCUGGAACUGUAUCUCAUUCAGAGUUGCAAUUGGCACAUUCUUGGCUUUAGGAACAAUUGAAUGAUCCAAUCAUACCUGGUGCAGAAAAAAGCCUAAUUAAACAGCACUGGGCAGGCUAAUUAUAGGAGGUAAAGUCAGAGCCAUGAAACAAUUAGUUCCAUGGCUGGCAUUCCUCAGCAGAGUUUGGGAAUUAAGAAUGUAAGACCCAACAAGGUUCUCUAGUCCAGCUUCCACACUCAACCAGAUACUCACACACAAUGCCCACAAGUAGAAUAUAAAACAAAACCUGCUUUUCAAGCAUGCCACCUUUGAUACUAGCAGCCAUGAUAGCUGCUCUCUCCAUUUGUCCAAACCCCCUUAAAACCCACCAAAACUAGUGGGUUUUGCAGUAGUUGUUUUUUCCAUAGGUUAAUUGUGUGCUGUGUGAAGAAGCACCUCUUUUUGUCCAUCUGUGAUUCCAUAUCAUUGGUCAAACAGGGUUUAGAAUUUUAAAAAGUUAUUCUCCUGUGCAUUGUCCAAAUUGCACAAGCCUUUGAUGCCUGCCAUUAAAGAACUAUAGUUUGCAGCAUCUGAAAUGAUUGAGGAACUGGGCAUAGUGUCCUAAGUAAGAAGCCGGAUUAAUAACAUGUUGUCACCAAAAUCCCCCAAAUUCUGUUAUGAAAGUCUUAUGGACCUGUCUGUAUUUUCACUAAUGUGAGCUCUACAGUGGUUGACUAGCCAAAAAUGACUUGUUCCUGUCAUUCAUGGAACUGCUUGUUUUCUUUUGCAUUCUGACAAUUUAAGAGCAAGUCACCUUUCCGGUCCAAGCACAAAUUGCAAUUAAAAAACAAAGAUGGCGCUAAAGGAUGACUGAGCACUGUGACUAUCUGGAGCUUGUGGAUUGGCAGACUAUACCAAACUUGUCAGUCAGCCUCAGACAAUUUCCUUUGAAAGGAAGAAACACAGGAUGAUUAUUCAGCUGCCGACAAAGAUUCCAAAACAGUUUCUGGAGCAUUAAUAUAACAACGGGACUUGCAUCUGAUUCAGUCUACUUCCAUACUGAGGAAAUUAGCAAACUCCCUCAUGUUCCUAUUCUUUUUGGAUUAUCAAAUCAUCCUUCUCCUUCUCCCUACAUUGCAUUUAUAUUCCGCCUUCUUUCUCCUCUUGUGGAGAACCCAAGGGAGUUUACAGAGCUCCAUCUGCACAACCACAACCCUGUGACAUAGUUCACACUGAGAAUGAAUGAUGGGCCCAAAGUUACCCAGUGAGUUCAUGACCAAGUGGGGACUAGAACCCGGAUCUCCCAGGACCACAGUCCAACACUAUAACACCACCAACACUGGCUCUAAGUAUUUCUAGAUAAGGCUCACCAUGCCUCACUCACUAUAGUUAGUGAUACUUUAGGUGAUGCCAUAACACCUUUACUUUCCAAGCAUUCUUGAGCAGUUCUUUAACAGGGAAAUCUAGCACUUUGGGAAAUGGGGGAAUGGCCAGCGAAGUUGCACCAGUCCUCUACAGCCUAGUUUAUGUAGCAAAAUGUUAAGAAAGGCAGAGAAAGAACCGCCCUUACAAAGUGUAGAUAUCCCAUCUUAAACCCACAACUGAAUCCUGAGCUAGAGGGGUGGCUUAAAAACCCCAUCUUGAAACCCCCUAUCACUAGAUAAUCUAACUCCCUGUACUUUCCACUCAGGAGCUUAAAAUGGUGUAGCCACAAGUGAUCCCAUUUUAACUAGACAAGAAUCCUAGGGGGCAGGUUGGAGAGCAGGUCAGGCUGGUGGCAGGAUGAUGGUGAUGGACCCUGUGAUGGACACUGAAAUGCACUGGUUAGAGAGGGUGCCAUAUGAUAAUUUCUAUUCAUGAUAGCUGGAAAUCAUAAAGAAAAUAAAGGCAACACCUUUAGUUAUUAAUUUCUAUGCAUUCAGGAUGCUUUCAGUGUACAAAUUAUUAUAUGGAAUAUGUUGCAUAUUCUCCCUACCUCUUCAGGUUAUUGUAAUUACUUUAGGUAGGAAAUACAGGACGCUGCCUAUCUCUGGCCCAUCUGUUUACACUGAUUAGGAGAGGAUUUCCAGCAUUUCAGAUACGUGGAAAAGCUGGAAUCUGAAUCUUGGACCUUCAGCAUAAUAAGCCUGUAUUCUGCCGGGUGAGUUGAUGUUUCUCCAAGCAAAGUUUGCUUCUAGACAAAGAAGUCUUAGCAUGAACAACUAGAAGGCCUUCCAUCUUUUCUUCCUUCAAGGAUUCUCCACAGUAAGAAAAAAGACGGGAAAAGUAAUUGGAAAACAUCGGAGGGCUGGGACUGGACCUCUCCAUAAAACUCAGUGAAGUACAGUGAUGGUGUGAUAAAAGCCUUGCCUGGAAGUUUGUGCUGGACAAACUAUAUAACCAUAUAUGUGAUUGGAAUAGAGAUAUGGAUGCAUUUAUUUCAACUCUAUAUUUGAUCUUCCAUAGAAUGGGGCACAAUUAGGUUAGAUUGAUAAAGUAAAAUAUAUUUAGAUGUGUAAGAACGUGAGUUACUGGACAAAAUAAAAAUCUAAUAAGUAAAUAAAUGAUCAGGACAUAGAACCACACAUUUCUUACCUAAUCUCAAUAUGAUUUCAUAAGCAAGUUGCUCUCUUUGCUGUUUUACAGAUGCGAUUUGAAGAUACUGACCCUUAACUGGGAAAGUUGACACCUUAGUAUAGAUUUGUUUGAAAAUAUUGCACUCAGACUCUUUGGCCGGAUAGUUCUUUUCCUAGCUCAGACUCAGUAUUGGUGUAUUUUGCAUCUGCAUAUUGUAAAUCAGCAAACAAACAAGGAACAGUUGAGAGGAGGCUUUAUAGCUGGAAACAUGCAAAGUUGACCUUUUGCUUUUGGUCACACUUCUCCCCGCACACUUGUGGUUCAAGUUCAAGGCAAACAUGAAACCACCACUAAUAGGAAGGCUCAUGAUAACACUGUUUAUGGUUAUAAUUUAUAUAUUCAGUGAACAAUUAAGAUUACUGUUCAUCACAGGCUAGUUUAUCCUAGGUUGCAAGACAGAAGUAGUAAUGAAAAAGUGGAGUUGUCACAUGAAACAGCCUUGAGAAAAUAUUCAGUGCACACUUAUUUGAUGUCCAAGACAACCAAACUUGAGACUGAUUUGCUGCCAACAUACAAAUGUGGCUGAAAACCCACCUUCUCAAGAAAAUCCUGGAAGAACUGCCCACUGGGACUUAAACCUCUAGGCAUGUGUAUAACUGAGCUGUGCUUUGUAUGCUUGGUGGGGAAGUGUCCAAAUUGGUAUAAAUUAGAUCUGGCCUCACCCUUUCUGUCCUUGGCCCUGUCCACUGCUAGGAUAUGCUCCCCUCCAGCCCUUUCUGACAUUGGAAUGCAGCGUCAGACCCAAAAAGUCUCACCCCUUUUCUCUGCAGCCUCAAGGCAUCAACGCUUAUUAUGAAGCACAACUAUCAGAGACAUCCAUGUACAUGGAACAUCUGUGCUGUUUUACUGGCAUGAUCAACUGAUGAUAUGAAGGAACUGCAGCACAAUCAGAAGCAGAUAAAAUCUGAGUAAAAUAGAUUUUCUCCAGCAAGUCAGCACUUGGGUGCAAGAAAACUAGAAUGAAUAGAAUCCUUGGUUUUGCACACGCCAACAUCAGAGUCAGCAUAAUCAUUCAGCACCAUUAGAAAGGUAGAUUCCAAACCAUGUAAUCUGAUUUCACACAGGUUAAAUUCUAGUCCAUCCCAGUAAUAUAGACUUCCUUCACUAGCUAACAAGAUUUAUUUUGGAAUUUUCUUAUAGGUAUAUUCACUAUUCAAAGCGCAAGUGCUAGAUGCUCACAAUGUCCUUUAAAUCUAACUUAAAUUAGGUUUAAAACUUAAACUGGCCUAGCAUUGCUUCUACAAGUGUGUGUGUGUGUGUGUGUGUGUGUGUGUGUGUGUGUGUGUGUGUGUGUGUGAAGCUCGGGAAUAGACCUCCCUUCUUAGCCAUGGCAAAAUUCUUUGUAGUUAUUACAUCACUUUAGCUGCCAGAAGUUAAAGCUGAAUCAUUCUUGACCUUUAAUCCUUAACAUGUGGACCAGAUUUUCUCUCUUUACAUUGCUUUAUAGCAGGGAUUCCAGUCACACUCAGUAAUGAGAUGGGAUGAAGAAAUCAAACCACACAACUCAAUGAAAUUUCAUUUCCCUCUCGAUGUGGAAAAGGUGACAAGUUUUCUACAGUAACUGACCCUCGCUUUGACCCUUUCAAGUCAAUGAUGACUAGCACACUCAAGCUCAAGCACUGGGUAAGAAUAAUAAGUUACAGGGAUGAUAAAAUAAAUACAGAGGUUAUACUAGAGUUAAAAGGGGGUGGGGAUGGAAAGAGAAUUCUAAACAUAUUGAACAGAGGGGAAUUAUAGAAUUCUGUAAUGACAUCUGCUUUAUGAACAUAUCUCAGUCGGGCAAAUGCCACAGAAGUGUCAAACCUCCUACUUUGGAAGAGGCCGGCAGACUAAAACUGCACUUGAGAAUAAUUUAUCUGUACCAGAUGCAAACUUGUAACAGGGGUCCCGUCCCAUAACUGGUCAAUUACCAAUGCCCUUCAGAAUCUAUGGCCUUCCCCUGGGAUCUGGUGUGAGUUCUGUGCCACCUAGGCCUCCGAGGUCUAACUCACAUGCAUGCUGUGAUUUGGAAGCAGUGGUUACUACUGUCCCUGGUGAUGUCAAAGCUUGUCCUCACCCUGCUGCCAGGCAAAUGCCAUGCUUAGUUGGCUUGUGUACAGAAAAUCCCUCAGGACCAACGAACUCCAUGUGCUUGUGGAUUCUCUCCCUAUCUCCCUAUUUAGAAGAGGAACCAGGCCAGCAGCACUCUAUUCGAUGCAUCCUUAAUCAGAAGUAAAGAGCCUCUUUCAGCCAGAGGGCCAGUUUCCAUUUUGGAUCAGCUUUCAGGGUGAAAUACCAGUGCUGGAUGGAGCCAAGGGAAAGGGGCUUGGGACACAAAAAUACCAACAUAUUCUAGCUUAAAAAUCUUCAUGGUAGGAACUAAGCAUUGCAAGAGGAAUUUAGACCUUUUAGGAUGGGAAAAAACAAAUGGAACAGAGGGGCAUGAUAAUCUACAAUUUUGCCUCUGUGUUUUCUUCCUGGUAAUGCCUAUAUAAACUAUCCCCCUGCUCUACCACCUGCUUGGCUCCUGAGAUGUACAGAAAGGAAACUUAAGGCACAACCCUGUGCAAGUUUGGAUGGAAAAAAGUGUCAGGACUCCCAGUGUAGCUGGCUGAGGCAUGCUCGAAGUGGUAGACUUUUUUCUGUCAAGCACUGCAUAGGAUUGUGCCUUUAGUGACCUUCUCAGCUGCAACCUGUCUAGACUGGGACAGCAAAUCUGAGAGCUUUAUAUGAACCAAUAAACCAGGACUGGCUCUAAUUCUGGGAGAGUGUUGGACUAGUACAUGUCACCCCCAGCUUAAACUACCUGCAAAGAGAGCCGUGGGCCAUAGGGCAGUAUAUAAAUGUAAUAAAUAAAUACAUAACAUCCCAUAAUCAGCCGAGGGUAUCAGAAUUGGACCUGACGGCACCUAUAGCACUGGACAACAUUUCUGGAAAAAAGGUUAUUUAAAGGGCUUGUCUUUCCCCAUGCUGGGCUUGAGAAGUAUACUAUAAUAGUAUGGAAAAAUCUAUAUGCAGCCUCCCUCUAAGCAGGAAGUUAGGAAACACCCUGUCCACCUAUGCCGUUUUCACUUACGAUCUACUACACCCAGCAUCACCUGUACACUCUUUUGCAUACAAACUUGUCACCUGCUGCAACCACAUGGUAGAUUAAAGGCAUGGAAGCGCUUGGUGCUUGGUACAUAUGUACAGCCACACAAUGUGAAUACAUGUGUGUACAUGCACGUACACUCAAAACCACACACACACACACACACACACACACACACACGGAACCAAUGCCUGUUUAAAAAUCUAUAUCCAGCAGAGGUCAGUUGAGAGCUGGAAGCAGAUUCUUUAGAGAUAAAGCAGGGAAUCCUGUGCAGAAAAGAUACAGGAAAGAGAUUUCAAAAUGCUCAAAAACUGAUUGGAAAAAUGAGAUGCCUGUUUGAGAAAUACAUCACUGAAUUUCAUCUUAAUGUGAAAUCUUAGGGCUGUCAACAAAACCUUGAAGUGAGAAACUCCCUGUGUUGUUCCUUGAAUUGCCUUUCGGUAUGAAACACACCUAUCGAUUGUGCAAGGCAGGUGUAUUUCUGGAAAAAGGGAUGGUGUUUAAUAACAGAUGACCCAAUGUGCCAACAUUUUACAAAAGUAGCAAGGACCAUGCAGAGACAAAAUACAGGCCACAAUCUAUAAAACUGUGUGGCCAGAGUGAUUCCUUUCAUUUCUCUUUUUCUCAAACAGCAGUGGUCCCUCGACUGAAUGGGAAACCAGGUGCAAGUGGAAGAAAUUUCAAAGGCACAUUAUGCAAAGCAAAUGUACUCUUGAACUGGGGAAAUGGGGGCUAGUGCUGUACUGUACUGAUUAGGAAGCUGCCGUACUCAGAGUCUAUACAACUCAUUACUGCCUACAUGGAGAGAUGCCUGUUUUUCCAAGGUUCCAAGGAAAAGGCUUUUUCCCAGCAUCACUUGAUAACGCCAGGGACUGAAGCCUCAGAAUUGUGCAUGCAGAACUGAGCCAUGAUCUCCCUGUUGCUCUGUGCUACCAUAAUGGUUUGCUGAUCUGCAUUUUAUCAGCACCACAGAGUAUGGCUAAAGAUGAUGUUGCAGCUAUCAGCUCUAUAGGCAUUUGGUGAGAAGGAGCCAAUAAAGUUGCUGAAUGCAGGAUGACCUGAUACUGGUAAGUCUGGCUUGUUUGAGCUCAAGGGAUUUUCUGCCCAUUUCUGAUUCAAGGAUCAGAAACAAGCCAAGCCGGGAGGGGAGGAUUUUCAUCUUUCAGUUGAGAAAUGAUUUGUGCAAUUAUUUUCCAGUACUAAGGGAAUUAGUGCUAAUCAUGCAAUUUGGGGAAAUUUUUGCCAUUUUGCAAUUCAUGUUUUUGUUUUGCCUGUUUUGCAUAGCUCUGAACCAGCAAAUGACAUAUACAGAUCUAGUGCAAUUUGCAUAAAUUCAGUGGAGUGGUGUAUAUCAGCAGCUGAAAAGCAUCAUCACUGAUUUUGCAAAAAUAAAAAACCCUCUCCUUUAAAAAGGUGUGUGGUGAUGUGGUGUUAAUGCAGGGCUGGUGAAAUGGAGUCGAGGAGACCAAAUCAUGAAAAUCUGUCACAUUCCAUAAUCCUUUCCUAUAUCUCCCUCCUCAGCCUGACCAUCCUAUUGGUCAGGUAAAGCCUGUGUUGUACAACUGUCUGUCCCUGUACAACUGCUUGGUUUCUGACCUGUUUCCCAACUCACCUCAAGUGCACAGCAGAGGGAGAGGGGGAGUGAGAGAGAGCUGCGGGGGUGGGGGGGAGAGAGAGACAGGCACGUCUAGAGGACAGUGACUCUCGUCCCAGUAUCUGGGCAUGCCUAAAGGAGCUCCUGAGCUUAUGACCCAAGUGCACAAUGGAACCCCAGUCAAAGAGCGAAAGCUUUGUUAAAGUGGUAGCACAUUCCAUUCAUUAGACAUCAGCUUCCCAAGACUGAAAUGAUCUAGUAUACUGAGCCAUUACCUCUACUUAAAUCACAAAUCACACAGGCUUUCUUCACAAAAUACACGCACACACCUUAGCAAUGUGGUGUGUUCCGAAAGAAAAAAGAUGCCAUGCAAUUAAGGCAGCUGCUGGUCAUGUAAAUAUGGCAGCCCCUGUCCCAGGUGGGAAGCAAAUGAGCAAAAGAUACUAUGGAUUAUGUUUGUUUAAAUAGCAAUGUCCAUUCUCCCCUCUUCUAUAGAAUAUAAGAGUGGUAAAACCAUCAGGAAGGUGAGUGGGCACCUGGCUGCACACAUAUCAUAUCCCUGCUGAAGCAGCUGCACUGGCUAUCCAUUAGUUACCAAGCCAAGUUCAAGCCUUUCCUGUUGAUCUAUAAAGGCCGGAACAGCUUGGUACCAAGUUUGCUGGUGCAGCCCCUUCCCUGGAACCAUGCUGUGUGGUCAUCAAGAUCACCACAGGAGACAUUGCUGGUUGUAAAGCAACCUGCAGAUCCCCAUCUUGUGACAACCCCUAAGCAAGUCUUCUCUGUGGUGGUGCCCACACCCAUGGAAUGGCCUCCUCUGAGCUCCUUAGGAGGCACAGCUCUGGCAUACUUAAAAUGCCAAUUGAAGAUCAAUGUCGGUGCUGUCCAGUUAGUCUGCUGAUAAUUGCUAUAUUUUCAGUCUGAAAUACGUUGAACAUUUAACCUGAUGAUUUACUGCAUUGUUUGCAAUUAUAUAUCUUAAUCCAUUUCUAUAAAUUGCUUCAAGAUAUGUUUGAUAUAGGAAGUGGCCCGAGCUUUCCUAGAAGUGAAAAUGGCAAGACUGAGGCUGCUGUACUUUGGGCACAUCAUGAGAUGGCAAGAUUCACUUCAGAUGACCAUCAAGAUAGGGAAAGGCAGAAGACAAAGUACGAGCUGGAUCAAACCCAUAAAGGAAGCUGUAGUUUCUUCUUUGGAAGAGCUGAAGGGAACUGUCAUGGGCGAGAUACUUUGGAGGGCUUUCAUUCCUAGGGUCGCUACAAGUUGGAGAUGAUUGGAUGGCACAUAAUAAUGACAACACGUGGCUGAACAAGUGACUGUCCAAAGAAAGGCCUCCUUUUGUGUAUAUCUGUCAGGACUUUUACAUCAUCUUUAGUGGUCUUCCUCCAGGUGCCCCACUGAAGUUAAGUGAAAGAAGCACCCCGUUUGUGAAUGGUUUCCCCAAGGGGGCUAACCUGCCACCUUCAUUACUAUCUUUUCAGGUGUGGGCAAAAACCUUCCUUCUUUUCCGGGCAUUUUAGAGACUUAGUUUUUAGAUUUUACAGAUGUUUUUAACAUUUUUAUAUUUCUCUGCUCUUGGACUGUUUGUCCUUUUGUAUUUUAUUCUUUUAACUGCACUUUUCUUUUUCUGCAUCGUUUAACUGCUUGUAAUUCACCCAGAGAAUUAUUUUAUUGAGCAGAUUUAAAGUAUCAUAAGUAAAUAGAUAAACUCCCAUUCCUGAAGUUAUGUCUGCAAUUAAUCAUUCCGAUUCACAAAAUUAAUUGGCAAAAGUCCAUAGGCUGUCAGUAAGGACAGAAAAUUGUUCCUUAUUUCAUUCAUUAGCAUUGCAUUUUUAUGCCAGGAUGGGAGAAAAGAUACUUGUGGCAUUUUCUGCCUAAGGUGCCAAAAUUACACGACUGACCUGGGCACUACACACGUCGAUUGCGGACCAAACACACAAUAUGCUGCUCCACUUCAGGAAGCGAAAUACCUUAGAUAACCCAGGGAGGGGUAGCAAAACUAGGAAUGGGGAGGAUAAGGGCCUUUGCUGAUAAAGAUAUGAUAUGGGUGGCUCACUAGGGCUGGAGCCCUGAAUCUCUGGAAGGCCAUCUGCCCCACAGCCCAGUUCUCUAUGGUCUGAAAUAAAGUCCUCCUGCUGUCUUUGCUUGGACAUUUAUUUAUUCAUUUAAACCUUUUCUAUGCUGCCCCAUUCCCAAAAAGCCUCAGGGCAGCUUACAACAUAAAAAAAGACAUGACACGCCUCCUGCUGCCUCCCCCAAAUGGGGUCAUUUAAACAGACGUUGCCACAUAUGUAAAUUAGCAUAGGUAAAUUUGCAUUUUUGUCCUGUGCAACCGGACAAAAGACUUUCCAAGUAUCUAGCGCUGCUCCUGUGAUAAAGUGUGCCCUAUUUUGCAUUGUGGCAAAAAAGUAAAACGUUAAUGACGAAAGAGAUGACAAAACUGAGAUAAAAUUAAAAUAAAACUAAGCAAAGCACUAGAAAUGUGAAUGGUGACAUUCCUUAGGAGUUCAGCUUUCAGUACAAUGAAGCACUGAUUUGUCACAUUUCCUGGACUGAAAGCUUGUUUUAUGAACCAGAUGAAUUUUUAUGAGGCCUAUAGGAACCCUACAUGCUGUCUGGAUCAACAACAAACCGAGAAGGAUUACCCAAUGUCCUGCAGUCUGGAUUGUUCUGUUCCAUAGACUCUCCCAUCCAGUGGCCCCAUAUGUAAUGGACAGCCAUGAAUAAGGAGGGAAUCCAUCUGCGGCCUUAAUGGUUGGAGGGGCAGAGGUGUACCAGGAGUCAGAACUUUGGAAAGCUGUGAAGGAGGACGAGAGCUGUGUCCAAAUGAAAGCAAAUGCAGAAUGGCUUUUGUGACAAGAGUCACUAGAGAAAGUAUUGGUGCCCAUUAGAGACAUGGAGGAAGUUCACGUGGCAAGGUCAAGUAAGUUUCUGAAUAGGGGUGAGGUGGUGAUGGGGAGAAGAAGGGGAAGGCAGAGAAAGGAUUGCAAGUAUGGCAUUCAGUCCACCUUUGGGCAACCACUUCUCUAAAUGGAGGAGUUUCUGAGUCAGACCACUGGUCUAUCUAGCCAAGUAUGGUCAGCACUGACUGGCAGCAGUUCUCCAGGGAAAGGAUCUUUCCUGAAGAUCCUAGGGGCUGGACCUGAGGCCUUCUGCUAGCAAAGGAGGUGCUCUGCCACUGAAAUAUGGCCUCCUGUUUAUGCGGAAGGGUAAAAAUGGAGGACAAACUUCUGAAGACUAUGCACUGAGGUUCCUCAGAAAUGUGAUGUGGCAGCCAUGGACAUCUGGUACAUUUGUUUACUCAAUUUACAUAUAAAGCAAGAAGGUAAACUAUGACCGACUUUUACAUGAGGAAAGCAACAACGUCUCUCCACUACACACUAUCAUCCCGUCUCUCUGCAACUUUCUCUUGCUUUUGGUAUCUGAACAGAACUGCUUAAAGCAGAAGGCUGUAGAAAAACCUGCUGGGAUUUCAACUUCCCUUUUCGUAGAAUCUACCCAUUUCUGUUCUGUAUAAGAAUGGGACAGACAAAUGCCCCAUGGCAUCUAGUUUGGCCCCAAGAAGCCUGAAUAAUGGGGAAAAGGGCAGCUUCUCAUCACAACUUAUCUUCCCCUGUGGCCAUGGAGAAAGGUAGGAUAUGUUCCAUGCAUAUUCCCAGUAUAUCAAGAUCCUGUGUGAGGGUGCAGAACCUUCUGCGACAUUAUGAGGUUUCAGGGCAGAUGGACAAGAGUUCUUCAGUGGUGAAGCCCAUUUGAGAAUGGGUCCCUGAAAGGAUGCCUUGAAAACUACCAGCUGGGAGGUUAACUGAACCAACAUGGCAGAAGAUGGUGGCCCCAUCUUGAGCAUUCUUUCAACAGUUGGGCAAAGUAUAUUUCUGUUGGCAACUUUUGCCCUGCUAAGUUUCUGAUGUUUUAUUUGAAGGUUGUGUUCAUCUGUGGCUUGUCUGCCUUGCAUUUUAUUGAAUAUACUGUUUUAUAUGGUACCAUUAAAAAUGUUAGAAGACCCAAGAGCGGCACAAAGACACUGAAGAAUCAGAUAGAAAUUUGUAUAUAAACACCAAUGAAUAACUAUGCGUGAAAUGUGGUUCUGCAAUAUAUGGUUCAGCUACCACAUCUCUACCCUUCCUGAAUUAAAACUAAUGUAGUUCUUUUUCUAUUGUUCUGGAAAUCCUUUAUAAAGCAAGGACAUAAAAGUAUGUUAUGAUGGAUCCUAUCACUGGUCUAUACGUUUCCAUGCUCUUGAGGCAUCUGCCUACUGUAGGAAUCCAGCCACCCUCUCUACAUGGUCAGAAGGCUUGCUGAAGACCAUAUUCUGGAACAAAAAACAGGCAGCACAAGCCCUCCUGCCUAGGGGACUGAACUUUCCUUUGCUCCCCUAGUUUUCUCUCAAGCCAUCCAUGGAAACUACACUAUGAAACCACUGAAUGGUAGUUAUGAAGUUCAUGCUUUAUCAACUGUAGCUUUGAGUGACGCUUGUUUCCAACACAUUAUGUGUUAAGUGGUUUACCAAUGCAAGGAUGUCUACAUUGCCAUCCACAAUUUUGGGGAUGGCUACUGUUUUUAUUUAUUUAUUUAUUUAUUAAAACAUUUUUAUGCCGCCCCAUUCGCCGAAGCCUCGGGGCGGCUCACAUCAAGAAUGUUAAGAAUGCCACGAUCACUGACUGUUCUUAUUCUCUGUGUAUAAUGCCAGCAACACAGGAUAAUACUUCAUGCAUUUCGUGGAAUGAAUUACAGUGCACAGACGUUUAGCCAUAAUAAAAGGCUCUUAAGGUAUCAUAAGACUCUGUUUUAAAGGCAAGACUGAAUUAUGACAGUACAGUCAACUUUCUCCCUUAUGUUCCUGCCCGAUUGCUAAAAUCACCUUUGGAGGCUCUCUUACAGUGGUGUAACAGGUGGCUACUCAGGAACAAGCCAUUUCCCCACCUCUGCCUAUGGGAUGCCGUGACCAGGAAGAUCACUGUUGGCCUCACUGCAUACAUUUAGACCCAUGCAAAGACCUUCCUCUUCUAAAAACAGAGAAUAUGUUGCUUCAAUGAUUAACUAUAUGGCAAGCUAAUCAUGAAAGCUAUUUAAUGUGUUAAUAUUUAGGGAUUUUUUACUGUUGCAUUUAUUUAUUUAUUUAUUUAUUUAUUUAUUUAUUUAUUUAGAGAAUUUCUAUGCCGCCCCAUUCGCCGAAGCCUCGGGGCGGCU
Varanus komodoensis (Komodo dragon) is the source of this 16352-nucleotide long non-coding RNA. RefSeq lists it as uncharacterized. NCBI's taxonomy places the organism in Eukaryota, Metazoa, Chordata, Lepidosauria, Squamata, Varanidae. The transcript is spliced from 3 exons. The record is from RefSeq and is a predicted model, not a curated record.